Molecule: ribosomal RNA, 2921 nt
Filed under: Staphylococcus aureus AMMC6075
Lineage: Bacteria; Bacillati; Bacillota; Bacilli; Caryophanales; Staphylococcaceae
Description: bacterial LSU rRNA
Rfam family: Bacterial large subunit ribosomal RNA
Source: RNAcentral
UUAAGUUAUUAAGGGCGCACGGUGGAUGCCUUGGCACUAGAAGCCGAUGAAGGACGUUACUAACGACGAUAUGCUUUGGGGAGCUGUAAGUAAGCUUUGAUCCAGAGAUUUCCGAAUGGGGAAACCCAGCAUGAGUUAUGUCAUGUUAUCGAUAUGUGAAUACAUAGCAUAUCAGAAGGCACACCCGGAGAACUGAAACAUCUUAGUACCCGGAGGAAGAAAAAGAAAAUUCGAUUCCCUUAGUAGCGGCGAGCGAAACGGGAAGAGCCCAAACCAACAAGCUUGCUUGUUGGGGUUGUAGGACACUCUAUACGGAGUUACAAAGGACGACAUUAGACGAAUCAUCUGGAAAGAUGAAUCAAAGAAGGUAAUAAUCCUGUAGUCGAAAAUGUUGUCUCUCUUGAGUGGAUCCUGAGUACGACGGAACACGUGAAAUUCCGUCGGAAUCUGGGAGGACCAUCUCCUAAGGCUAAAUACUCUCUAGUGACCGAUAGUGAACCAGUACCGUGAGGGAAAGGUGAAAAGCACCCCGGAAGGGGAGUGAAAUAGAACCUGAAACCGUGUGCUUACAAGUAGUCAGAGCCCGUUAAUGGGUGAUGGCGUGCCUUUUGUAGAAUGAACCGGCGAGUUACGAUUUGAUGCAAGGUUAAGCAGUAAAUGUGGAGCCGUAGCGAAAGCGAGUCUGAAUAGGGCGUUUAGUAUUUGGUCGUAGACCCGAAACCAGGUGAUCUACCCUUGGUCAGGUUGAAGUUCAGGUAACACUGAAUGGAGGACCGAACCGACUUACGUUGAAAAGUGAGCGGAUGAACUGAGGGUAGCGGAGAAAUUCCAAUCGAACCUGGAGAUAGCUGGUUCUCUCCGAAAUAGCUUUAGGGCUAGCCUCAAGUGAUGAUUAUUGGAGGUAGAGCACUGUUUGGACGAGGGGCCCCUCUCGGGUUACCGAAUUCAGACAAACUCCGAAUGCCAAUUAAUUUAACUUGGGAGUCAGAACAUGGGUGAUAAGGUCCGUGUUCGAAAGGGAAACAGCCCAGACCACCAGCUAAGGUCCCAAAAUAUAUGUUAAGUGGAAAAGGAUGUGGCGUUGCCCAGACAACUAGGAUGUUGGCUUAGAAGCAGCCAUCAUUUAAAGAGUGCGUAAUAGCUCACUAGUCGAGUGACACUGCGCCGAAAAUGUACCGGGGCUAAACAUAUUACCGAAGCUGUGGAUUGUCCUUUGGACAAUGGUAGGAGAGCGUUCUAAGGGCGUUGAAGCAUGAUCGUAAGGACAUGUGGAGCGCUUAGAAGUGAGAAUGCCGGUGUGAGUAGCGAAAGACGGGUGAGAAUCCCGUCCACCGAUUGACUAAGGUUUCCAGAGGAAGGCUCGUCCGCUCUGGGUUAGUCGGGUCCUAAGCUGAGGCCGACAGGCGUAGGCGAUGGAUAACAGGUUGAUAUUCCUGUACCACCUAUAAUCGUUUUAAUCGAUGGGGGGACGCAGUAGGAUAGGCGAAGCGUGCGAUUGGAUUGCACGUCUAAGCAGUAAGGCUGAGUAUUAGGCAAAUCCGGUACUCGUUAAGGCUGAGCUGUGAUGGGGAGAAGACAUUGAGUCUUCGAGUCGUUGAUUUCACACUGCCGAGAAAAGCCUCUAGAUAGAAAAUAGGUGCCCGUACCGCAAACCCACACAGGUAGUCAAGAUGAGAAUUCUAAGGUGAGCGAGCGAACUCUCGUUAAGGAACUCGGCAAAAUGACCCCGUAACUUCGGGAGAAGGGGUGCUCUUUAGGGUUAACGCCCAGAAGAGCCGCAGUGAAUAGGCCCAAGCGACUGUUUAUCAAAAACACAGGUCUCUGCUAAACCGUAAGGUGAUGUAUAGGGGCUGACGCCUGCCCGGUGCUGGAAGGUUAAGAGGAGUGGUUAGCUUCUGCGAAGCUACGAAUCGAAGCCCCAGUAAACGGCGGCCGUAACUAUAACGGUCCUAAGGUAGCGAAAUUCCUUGUCGGGUAAGUUCCGACCCGCACGAAAGGCGUAACGAUUUGGGCACUGUCUCAACGAGAGACUCGGUGAAAUCAUAGUACCUGUGAAGAUGCAGGUUACCCGCGACAGGACGGAAAGACCCCGUGGAGCUUUACUGUAGCCUGAUAUUGAAAUUCGGCACAGCUUGUACAGGAUAGGUAGGAGCCUUUGAAACGUGAGCGCUAGCUUACGUGGAGGCGCUGGUGGGAUACUACCCUAGCUGUGUUGGCUUUCUAACCCGCACCACUUAUCGUGGUGGGAGACAGUGUCAGGCGGGCAGUUUGACUGGGGCGGUCGCCUCCUAAAAGGUAACGGAGGCGCUCAAAGGUUCCCUCAGAAUGGUUGGAAAUCAUUCAUAGAGUGUAAAGGCAUAAGGGAGCUUGACUGCGAGACCUACAAGUCGAGCAGGGUCGAAAGACGGACUUAGUGAUCCGGUGGUUCCGCAUGGAAGGGCCAUCGCUCAACGGAUAAAAGCUACCCCGGGGAUAACAGGCUUAUCUCCCCCAAGAGUUCACAUCGACGGGGAGGUUUGGCACCUCGAUGUCGGCUCAUCGCAUCCUGGGGCUGUAGUCGGUCCCAAGGGUUGGGCUGUUCGCCCAUUAAAGCGGUACGCGAGCUGGGUUCAGAACGUCGUGAGACAGUUCGGUCCCUAUCCGUCGUGGGCGUAGGAAAUUUGAGAGGAGCUGUCCUUAGUACGAGAGGACCGGGAUGGACAUACCUCUGGUGUACCAGUUGUCGUGCCAACGGCAUAGCUGGGUAGCUAUGUGUGGACGGGAUAAGUGCUGAAAGCAUCUAAGCAUGAAGCCCCCCUCAAGAUGAGAUUUCCCAACUUCGGUUAUAAGAUCCCUCAAAGAUGAUGAGGUUAAUAGGUUCGAGGUGGAAGCAUGGUGACAUGUGGAGCUGACGAAUACUAAUCGAUCGAAGACUUAAUCAA